RNAcentral lists this ribosomal RNA (403 nucleotides) under uncultured bacterium. Its description in RNAcentral is "partial 16S ribosomal RNA". It matches the Rfam family "Bacterial small subunit ribosomal RNA", at positions 30 to 526 of the family's 1533-position model. The record is from RNAcentral.
AUUGAACGCUGGCGGCAGGCCUAACACAUGCAAGUCGAGCGAGCGGCGGACGGGUGAGUAAUGUAUGGGGACUGCCCGAUAGAGGGGGAUAACUACUGGAAACGGUAGCUAAUACCGCAUACUAUCGGAUAACCCAUAUGGGAUUAGCUAGUAGGUGAGGUAAGGGCUCACCUAGGCGACGAUCCCUAGCUUGUCUGAGAGGAUGAUCAGCAACACUGGGACUGAGACACGGCCCAUACCCCUGCGGAGGCAGCAGGGGGGAAUAUUGCACAAGGGGCGCAAGCCUGAUGCAGCCAUGCCGCGUGUAUGAAGAAGGCCCGAGGGGUGGAAAGUACUUUCAGUCGGGAGGCGUUACCGACAGAAGAAGCACCGGCUAACUCCGUGCCAGCAGCCGCGGUAAUUC